AUUGAACGCUGGCGGCAGGCCUAACACAUGCAGGUCGAACGGUAACAGGCAGAAGCUUUCUUCUUUGCUGACGAGUGGCGGACGGGUGAGACAUGUCUGGGAAACUGCCUGCUGGAGGGGGAUAACUACUGGAAACGGUAGCUAAUACCGCAUAACGUCGCAAGACCAAAGAGGGGGACCUUCGGGCGUCUUGCCGUCGGGUGCGCCCAGGUGGGCUGGGCUGGAAGGUGGGGUAACGGCUCCCCUAGUCGACGAUCCGUAGCUGGUGUGAGAGGGUGACCGGCCACACUGGAACUGAGACACGGUCCAGACUCCUACGGGAGGCAGCAGUGGGGAAUAUUGCACAAUGGGCGCAAGCCUGAUGCAGCCAUGCCGCGUGUAUGAAGACGGCCUUCGGGUUGUGAAGUACUUUCAGCGGGGAGGAAGGGAGUAAAGUUAAUACCUUUGCUCAUUGACGUUACCCGCAGAAGAAGCACCGGCUAACUACGUG
RNAcentral lists this ribosomal RNA (490 nucleotides) under uncultured bacterium. RNAcentral's name for it is "partial 16S ribosomal RNA". It matches the Rfam family "Bacterial small subunit ribosomal RNA", at positions 30 to 507 of the family's 1533-position model. The record is from RNAcentral.